RNAcentral lists this ribosomal RNA (1066 nucleotides) under Salmonella enterica subsp. enterica serovar Berta. Its description in RNAcentral is "partial 23S ribosomal RNA". It matches the Rfam family "Bacterial large subunit ribosomal RNA", at positions 125 to 1230 of the family's 2925-position model. Lineage: Bacteria; Pseudomonadati; Pseudomonadota; Gammaproteobacteria; Enterobacterales; Enterobacteriaceae. The record is from RNAcentral.
AACCCAGUGUGAUUCGUCACACUAUCAUUAACUGAAUCCAUAGGUUAAUGAGGCGAACCGGGGGAACUGAAACAUCUAAGUACCCCGAGGAAAAGAAAUCAACCGAGAUUCCCCCAGUAGCGGCGAGCGAACGGGGAGGAGCCCAGAGCCUGAAUCAGCAUGUGUGUUAGUGGAAGCGUCUGGAAAGGCGCGCGAUACAGGGUGACAGCCCCGUACACAAAAGCGCAUGUGCUGUGAGCUCGAUGAGUAGGGCGGGACACGUGGUAUCCUGUCUGAAUAUGGGGGGACCAUCCUCCAAGGCUAAAUACUCCUGACUGACCGAUAGUGAACCAGUACCGUGAGGGAAAGGCGAAAAGAACCCCGGCGAGGGGAGUGAAAAAGAACCUGAAACCGUGUACGUACAAGCAGUGGGAGCACAGGUUUACCUGUGUGACUGCGUACCUUUUGUAUAAUGGGUCAGCGACUUAUAUUCUGUAGCAAGGUUAACCGAAUAGGGGAGCCGGAGGGAAACCGAGUCUUAACCGGGCGUUAAGUUGCAGGGUAUAGACCCGAAACCCGGUGAUCUAGCCAUGGGCAGGUUGAAGGUUGGGUAACACUAACUGGAGGACCGAACCGACUAAUGUUGAAAAAUUAGCGGAUGACCUGUGGCUGGGGGUGAAAGGCCAAUCAAACCGGGAGAUAGCUGGUUCUCCCCGAAAGCUAUUUAGGUAGCGCCUCGUGAAUUCAUCUCCGGGGGUAGAGCACUGUUUCGGCUAGGGGGCCAUCCCGGCUUACCAACCCGAUGCAAACUGCGAAUACCGGAGAAUGUUAUCACGGGAGACACACGGCGGGUGCUAACGUCCGUCGUGAAGAGGGAAACAACCCAGACCGCCAGCUAAGGUCCCAAAGUCAUGGUUAAGUGGGAAACGAUGUGGGAAGGCCCAGACAGCCAGGAUGUUGGCUUAGAAGCAGCCAUCAUUUAAAGAAAGCGUAAUAGCUCACUGGUCGAGUCGGCCUGCGCGGAAGAUGUAACGGGGCUAAACCAUGCACCGAAGCUGCGGCAGCGACGCUUAUGCGUUGUUGGGUA